This is a long non-coding RNA of Lathyrus oleraceus (garden pea), 1000 nucleotides long. RefSeq lists it as uncharacterized. NCBI's taxonomy places the organism in Eukaryota, Viridiplantae, Streptophyta, Magnoliopsida, Fabales, Fabaceae. The record is from RefSeq and is a predicted model, not a curated record. The transcript is spliced from 2 exons.
AGUUUGAUAGUUGUGGUGAGCGUCAUUCGAAUAUGCAACAUUCUAGUUGACAAAGUAAUUAGUAAGUAAUAUUUUAGUUUCCUAAAUAUGUUUUUUUAACUACUUUUUUUUUGUUAAUCACUUUGAAGAGGUCGCAAGUAUACAUCUCUUUUACCCUAACCUAAGCAAAUGCAGUACAUCGCUAUCAGCAUUUCUCACAACCCUCGUAUUUCUCUCUUCUCUCCGUAAGUUUUCUCAUUCCAUUUUUUUCCUUGAAAACCCUAAGUUAUCUUCACUUUUACGGAGCAUUUUUUACCAUCUAGAAGUUGAAAGGAAAACUAUUUGUUACUCUUAAAUCCACGAGCUUCCUAUUCAACUUGUCGAUUUUGUGUUUCGGACAACUCACCAUUGAGACUCUUUCUACUGCGAGUUUAGUCUACUCUUCAAUGGUUAAGGGUGACUCAUAGAGUAUACCUGAGAAGGUGACAAAAAAGAUGGUCGAGACAAUAAGAGAAAGUAUACAGGGGUAGAAGAAUCACUAAAGAAGAAAAGGUCUCCUCGCUAGAAGAAGUUGUCCACCAAGAAAACUAUUGAGGUUGUGAUUGGAGCAAGGGAAAAAAGUCAACAAUAGUGAAGAAGAGGAAGAUCGGAAAGGAAAAUGUCAAUACAUCACAUCCAUUACUAGUGGUCUUCCAAGGGCAAAGAACCCCUCCAAGGGGACGAUGAAGAGAAAAAUCGUUGGGUUGAUGGUUGUAAGUUGUUGUUCCUUUUGGAUUGACUGCAUUAUGCAAAACAACAUGGUAUGUUCAAGUUGUUUUUGUGAAAAGGGGACACAUGUGAGACAUGAUGUUCUAGCAGGUGUGGCACAUCUGUCCCCUACAUCUGCUUCUUCAUUGGCACAUUUUCUGAGUGCGAUUUUGGAUUUGUUUCUGAUUGAUUUGUUGCUAUCUUUUAGUAAACUAAUUAAUUAGGUUUGUUUAAUGAUUUAUUAAGAUCGAAUUUAAAGAUUUGGAAAUUUAAA